RNAcentral lists this ribosomal RNA (735 nucleotides) under uncultured Cyanobium sp. RNAcentral describes it as "bacterial SSU rRNA". It matches the Rfam family "Bacterial small subunit ribosomal RNA", at positions 781 to 1515 of the family's 1533-position model. Lineage: Bacteria; Bacillati; Cyanobacteriota; Cyanophyceae; Synechococcales; Prochlorococcaceae. The record is from RNAcentral.
GAUACCCCUGUAGUCCUGGCCGUAAACGAUGAACACUAGGUGUCGGGGGAAUCGACCCCCUCGGUGUCGUAGCCAACGCGUUAAGUGUUCCGCCUGGGGAGUACGCACGCAAGUGUGAAACUCAAAGGAAUUGACGGGGGCCCGCACAAGCGGUGGAGUAUGUGGUUUAAUUCGAUGCAACGCGAAGAACCUUACCAGGGUUUGACAUCCUGCGAAUCCCUUGGAAGCGAGGGAGUGCCUUCGGGAACGCAGUGACAGGUGGUGCAUGGCUGUCGUCAGCUCGUGUCGUGAGAUGUUGGGUUAAGUCCCGCAACGAGCGCAACCCACGUCUUUAGUUGCCAGCAUUUAGUUGGGCACUCUAGAGAGACUGCCGGUGAUAAACCGGAGGAAGGUGUGGAUGACGUCGAGUCAUCAUGCCCCUUACAUCCUGGGCUACACACGUACUACAAUGCUACGGACAAAGGGCAGCAAACUCGCGAGAGCUAGCCAAUCCCAUAAACCGUGGCUCAGUUCAGAUCGUAGGCUGCAACUCGCCUACGUGAAGGAGGAAUCGCUAGUAAUCGCAGGUCAGCAUACUGCGGUGAAUACGUUCCCGGGCCUUGUACACACCGCCCGUCACACCAUGGAAGUUGGCCACGCCCGAAGUCGUUACUCCAACCCUUGUGGAGGAGGAUGCCGAAGGUGGGGCUGAUGACUGGGGUGAAGUCGUAACAAGGUAGCCGUACCGGAAGGUGC